RNAcentral lists this ribosomal RNA (780 nucleotides) under uncultured bacterium. RNAcentral describes it as "bacterial SSU rRNA". It matches the Rfam family "Bacterial small subunit ribosomal RNA", at positions 61 to 834 of the family's 1533-position model. The record is from RNAcentral.
GUCGAGGGGCAUCAGGAUGUAGCAAUACAUUGGCUGGCGACCGGCGCACGGGUGAGUAACACGUAUCCAACCUGCCUUUUACUCGGGGAUAGGCUUUCGAAAGAAAGAUUAAUACCCGAUGGCAUAAUAUUUCCGCAUGGGAUUAUUAUUAAAGAAUUUCGGUAAAAGAUGGGGAUGCGUUCCAUUAGGCAGUUGGCGGGGUAACGGCCCACCAAACCUUCGAUGGAUAGGGGUUCUGAGAGGAAGGUCCCCCACAUUGGAACUGAGACACGGUCCAAACUCCUACGGGAGGCAGCAGUGAGGAAUAUUGGUCAAUGGGCGGAAGCCUGAACCAGCCAAGUAGCGUGAAGGAUGACUGCCCUAUGGGUUGUAAACUUCUUUUAUAGGGGAAUAAAAUGAGCCACGUGUGGCUUUUUGUAUGUACCCUAUGAAUAAGGAUCGGCUAACUCCGUGCCAGCAGCCGCGGUAAUACGGAGGAUCCGAGCGUUAUCCGGAUUUAUUGGGUUUAAAGGGAGCGUAGGUGGACAUGUAAGUCAGUUGUGAAAGUUUGCGGCUCAACCGUAAAAUUGCAGUUGAUACUGUGUGUCUUGAGUACAGUAGAGGUGGGCGGAAUUCGUGGUGUAGCGGUGAAAUGCUUAGAUAUCACGAAGAACUCCGAUUGCGAAGGCAGCUCACUGGACUGUUACUGACACUGAGGCUCGAAAGUGUGGGUAUCAAACAGGAUUAGAUACCCUGGUAGUCCACGCCGUAAACGAUGUCUACUCGGAGUUUGGUGUCUUG